Molecule: long non-coding RNA, 3085 nt
Organism: Heterocephalus glaber (naked mole-rat)
Lineage: Eukaryota; Metazoa; Chordata; Mammalia; Rodentia; Bathyergidae
Source: Ensembl
GCCAGGUCGGGUGGGGUAGGCAGCUUCGGAACUGAGUCACUCUCCUCCGGAAAGCGAGGACAGUGCAGGAAGUGGAGUUCCAUGGCCAGCUGCCUCCUUGGGAAGAGUGGGAGGGGAGCAGUGGCUGCGUAAGGGCGUGGUCCUCUCCAGGGAGCCCUGCUGUGGCUCCCAGAGGCCCACUGAGCCCCAGGCCCCCAGGCCCCAGCUGCUUCUCAGGCCCUCCCUGCAGGCUCCCUCCUGACCACCCGCUGUCCCCCAGCACAGCAGGACCCACCACUCCUCAUGCUGGCCGCAGCUCCCACGUCCCCUGUCCCAGAGGCUGGGGCGACCUUGGCUCACAGCCCCGCAGGCCACCCCUGUAGGCAGGAGAACCCUACUCCCUGCUGGCCCUGACCUCUGAGAGGGUCAGAGCUGGGAUCAAAUCACCAGAUCGAGCAGCGAAAUACAUCGGAAGGGUCUGAAAGUCACUUUCACCCAGCCCAACCUUGAGCAACGAUGGCCACGCCGUGUUCCAGAGACAGAGAAGGCUGAGACGGUUGAGCAGUGGCAUGGGAUAGCACUGUAACGCUUUAUUUGAAAAGACAACAACAACUUGCAUUCCAUUUGGUUUUCAUUGGAAGGAAUCGCUGAAUUCCAAGUGUUUCAUCAGGAUGGAAGCCGGUGGUUCCUGAAAGUCUCCCUUGAAGAAGUAAAAGGGCUUGGAAGACCCCACAGCGGGCAGGUGGCCGGCACCUCGGUCCUGGGUGGACGUCAGACCCUCUCUGGCUUCCUCGUCUCCCUCUGCUUUCUGGAUGAGCGGCCUGAAUGGUCACACUGGAAGACCUCUCACCACGCCCGCUGAUCCUGGAGCGGCACCCGGCCCAGGCAGAGUGUGUGCUUUGUCUCCAGGAAGCAAGCAGGACUUCCUGCCAACAGCCCCCAGACCAGGGCCUGCCCAGCCACCCUGGACCCGCAGGCUCUGGGCCCCAGCCAGCACCCUGUCCUGAACAGUGGAGUGUUAUUUGCCCCCCACUCUGCAUCUGGCUCCUGGGCUUGGCGUCAGGCCCAAGAGGGUGGCCCUGGCUGUGGGGCACCAAACCUGCCUUGCUCACCAUCUAUAGCCCUCGGGCACACUAGUGGCUUCCAGCUGUGGCUUCUGUGUGGCCCUGGCCCUUCUAGCACUGGGAUGCAUUGUUCGAGUGGAGGUGCACUCUGAGGCAUGUGUUGCUAGGCAACAUCAUCAUCCUGUGAGCAUCACCGAGUGCUUACACAAAUUAAGAGCACGGUGACCUUGCUAGGUGACCGGGUUUAUGGGAUCACAGUGACACCUGUGGCCCAUCGUUGACGAGCUGUUGCCAUGGAGCACAAGGCGCAGUGCUGGUGAACAUCUGUGCACGUUUCUGUUGGGCAGGUUGUGGGUUAAUAGGCACCAGCCACCGCUCCCACCCCUGCUGAACUGGCUCUCGAUGCUGCUAGCGCCCUCAGGAGCUCUGCACCGUGCUGACAGUCGGGAGUUUUACCUCCUCAUGUUGACCUGUCUCGGGCUGUGUGACCUGGUGGGUCCCACGAUGGCGACUGAGCUGGGCACCUUUCCGUGUGCUCACUGGCACUGGGCAGUGAGGCGUCCCCAGGCUUGCGCCUGCUUUCCAAGGUGUCAUCACCCCUGCUGUGGGCUUGUGGGGCCCAGGUACACUGCACGUGCACCAGUCCUUUGAGCUCUGCUGCUGAGUGUGCGGCAGACACCCGCCUUCUGCUGUGGUCAUCGUUAUGUGAAGUCUCACACAUACCUAACCUCUCCAGGAUAUUGCAGAUUCUCUCGGCACAUCUGUGAGCCGUGAGGCUCACCAGGCUCAUCCUUCCUGGUGUUCUUUAGGUGCUCUCCGCACUCAGCUUUGCAUCUGGGAUCGUUUCCUUUUGCCUACUUGCUUCUCUUUCAGCCUUCCUUUCAGUCUAGAGCUAUCCGAGAUGGGUUCCUCUGUUUUUUUGCUUGUCUGUAAAGUCUUUGUUUCACUUUCAUCUUGAAGGAUACUUUUGCUGGGCUCAGUACAGUAUUCCGGUUGCUGUAUUCAUUUGCUUUGUCCUCUGGCUCCCGCCAGCCGCUUCUGCUGGCUGUUGGCCACCUCUUGCUGUUCCCUGCACGUCUGCGGAUUUGGGGACUACAGGAUGGACCAGGAGUCAAGGAGGUCAUUUGUGAUCUCGGGAAUGUUCCAACUAAGAGAAAAACCCUCGAGGGUGUACAACUCAGAAGAGUGUGGCGGUGCACACCUGGUAUCUCAGCUACUGGGAAGGCUGAGGCAGGAAGGUGGUAAGUGAGCUCAUCCUGAGCAAUUAGUGAGAUCCUGUCUCAAAAUAAAAAACCAGAAAGGGGUGAGGAGGUGACUCAGUGGCAGAGCAGCCCCGAGUCCAACCCUCAGCACUGCAAAAACAAAACAAAACAAAGAAAAUUCCAAGGUAAGGGCUCUUGAGGGUGACUUGCUACUUCCUUGCCGAGGGUCUGCCCUUUCCAGGCAAUAGGCUGGGAGGCGAUCACAGACCUAGGCUGCAGGAGAUGCCCCAGGGAGACGGAAUUUCCAACGGCAGGUGCCGGCAUGUGGGAAAACAGCUGGGUGAUUCAGCCAACUGGGGGCCUCUCAGCCACUGCCUGCGCUGGCCCUGCUGUUAGGGAGCCGUGGGCCGGAUGGGGCGGAGUGCCCAUGAGAGCCCUCCCAGUGCCUCUGCUGUGCGGAGCAGCUGAGGGACCACAGUACCUGCCGGCACGGCCAUGCCACGGGCCUGCACCACAGGCUGCACAGCUGCUGCCCAGGCCUGACCAAGCACAGACUUCCAGCCUCCACAGCUGUGAGCUCAGUGAAACCCUUUGGGCUUCCAGCAGGAGAGAGAUCCUCACUCCAGACAGGGCCGAACCUCCGGGUCCUGAGGAAGGUCACAAGGCAGCAGAGAAGUGACCCCAAAUGACGAGUGCAAAGCUCGGUCCUGCAAAUACAGAGGGAUGCACAGCUCAGCACAGUCCUUGUCACGCACGUGUGCAUGUGUGUGAGUGUGCACAGGGAAAUCAGUGGAUGCAACCAAGCAGCCAAGGCGGCUUGGGAAGGGGUGAGGGGAGGGG